GACGAACGCUGGCGGCGUGCUUAACACAUGCAAGUCGAACGUGAUUUUUGUGGAAAUUCUUUCGGGAAUGGAAAUGAAAUGAAAGUGGCGAACGGGUGAGUAACACGUGAGCAACCUACCUUACACAGGGGGAUAGCCGUUGGAAACGACGAUUAAUACCGCAUGAGACCACAGAAUCGCAUGAUAUAGGGGUCAAAGAUUUAUCGGUGUAAGAAGGGCUCGCGUCUGAUUAGCUAGUUGGAAGGGUAAAGGCCUACCAAGGCGACGAUCAGUAGCCGGUCUGAGAGGAUGAACGGCCACAUUGGAACUGAGACACGGUCCAAACUCCUACGGGAGGCAGCAGUGGGGAAUAUUGCACAAUGGGGGGAACCCUGAUGCAGCGACGCCGCGUGAGCGAAGAAGGUUUUCGAAUCGUAAAGCUCUGUCCUAUGAGAAGAUAAUGACGGUAUCAUAGGAGGAAGCCCCGGCUAAAUACGUGCCAGCAGCCGCGGUAAUACGUAUGGGGCGAGCGUUGUCCGGAAUUAUUGGGCGUAAAGGGUACGUAGGCGGUUUUUUAAGUCAGGUGUGAAAGCGUGAGGCUUAACCUCUUAAGCACUUGAACUGGAAGACUUGAGUGAAGGAGAGGAAAGUGGAAUUCCUAGUGUAUCGGUUAAAGGCGUAUAUUUUAAUGAGGAAUACCGGUGGCGAAGGCGACAUUCUGGACUUUUACUGAUGUGUCUGGUACGAAGCGUGUGUGACAAAUAUGAUAGAUACGCUUGUAAUCGCGAGGGCGAAAUCCACAAUUUAGUUGUUGUUGAUCGUGCGCGUGUACUGUUAGUGGUGAAAUAAAAAUGCAAAGUGAUUUUUCUGUAUGUGAUGGGUGUUGAUUCUGUGCCGUGUGUCCUUGUAUUAUGGCAGAGUUAUGGUGUAAUAUGAUGAUGUUUGUGUGUGGUGUGUUUGCUAGUUGAUAUGUGUGGUUGUUGUUGUGAUAUGUUAUCUCUGCAGUGUGUGUGUGUUGUUUUGUUUACAUUGUGUGUGUAAGGUGUGCUGUGCUGUUA
Molecule: ribosomal RNA, 1037 nt
Filed under: uncultured Streptococcus sp.
Lineage: Bacteria; Bacillati; Bacillota; Bacilli; Lactobacillales; Streptococcaceae
Description: bacterial SSU rRNA
Rfam family: Bacterial small subunit ribosomal RNA (bases 1-847)
Source: RNAcentral